RNAcentral lists this long non-coding RNA (600 nucleotides) under Pan troglodytes (chimpanzee). RNAcentral describes it as "lncRNA (ENSPTRG00000054088.1)". The record is from RNAcentral. Lineage: Eukaryota; Metazoa; Chordata; Mammalia; Primates; Hominidae.
AUGACCAUGCCUCACCUCUGCCGAUCACAUGCAAAUAUUUGUCCUGUUCUGAGACAUCCUCCUGGGUCCCAGCUUCUUCUCUUGAAGAGUGAGUUUGAUUUGAUUUUGUAUUUCUGUCUUGAGCUACUUCCUGCUUUAUCAUUCAACAGCCUAAAUUUAGUUCAACACUCCAUCUUUACAGUACAGAUUUCCAGUGCACCAUCAGAAGCCGAAGUAACUGUGAGUGGGAGGCAUUGGAGCCGGCUGGGAGGUAAGCAUUCGGGCCAGCAGGGAGGAGGAGUCGCCCAUGUAGCAGUGCUGGAUGACAACAUUCCCACACUGCCCUCGGACACAUCACAGACCCUGGUACCACAGGAUCCCUCUGAUUCAACUGAAGAGAGAUGCAGAGCUGCAUGCCACCAAGAACAUGUCUGGCCUGAUUUGAAGCUGCUACAUCUACUUUGAAAGAAGCCACAUAACCUUUGCUGCUACUUCAUUUCAAGUUUUCCUUUGAAUUUUCUAUUUCCUGAGCUGGGAGAAAUGAGAGGAUGCACCCUCUCCCUUUCUAACAGGUUAGACCAGGCAGAGGCCUAAAAAUGGCGUCUCCGGGUUUUAUCAAAG